This 125-nucleotide ribosomal RNA is filed under the name uncultured eukaryote. RNAcentral's name for it is "partial 18S ribosomal RNA". It matches the Rfam family "Eukaryotic small subunit ribosomal RNA", at positions 1679 to 1801 of the family's 1831-position model. The record is from RNAcentral.
CUACUACCGAUUGAAUGGCUCAGUGAGGCUUUCGGACCUACGUAAGGAGGUCGGCAACGACCACCUAGCGCGGGAAAGUUGUUCAAACUUGGUCAUUUAGAGGAAGUAAAAGUCGUAACAAGGUU